RNAcentral lists this ribosomal RNA (253 nucleotides) under uncultured bacterium. RNAcentral describes it as "partial 16S ribosomal RNA". It matches the Rfam family "Bacterial small subunit ribosomal RNA", at positions 524 to 776 of the family's 1533-position model. The record is from RNAcentral.
UACGGAGGGUGCGAGCGUUGUCCGGAAUCACUGGGCGUAAAGGGCGCGUAGGUGGCUUUUCAAGCGCGCGGUGAAAGCCCGGGGCUCAACCCCGGGUCGGCCGUGCGGACUGGGAGGCUCGAGCACUGUAGGGGCGGGUGGAAUUCCGGGUGUAGCGGUGGAAUGCGUAGAGAUCCGGAAGAACACCGGUGGCGAAGGCGGCUUCCUGGACCGACACUGACGCUGAGGCGCGAAAGCUAGGGGAGCAAACGGG